This 468-nucleotide ribosomal RNA is filed under the name uncultured bacterium. Its description in RNAcentral is "partial 16S ribosomal RNA". It matches the Rfam family "Bacterial small subunit ribosomal RNA", at positions 28 to 507 of the family's 1533-position model. The record is from RNAcentral.
GACGAACGCUGGCGGCGUGCUUAACACAUGCAAGUCGAACGGAAAGGCCCUGCUUUUGUGGGGUGCUCGAGUGGCGAACGGGUGAGUAACACGUGAGUAACCUGCCCUUGACUUUGGGAUAACUUCAGGAAACUGGGGCUAAUACCGGAUAGGAGCUCCUGCUGCAUGGUGGGGGUUGGAAAGUUUCGGCGGUUGGGGAUGGACUCGCGGCUUAUCAGCUUGUUGGUGGGGUAGUGGCUUACCAAGGCUUUGACGGGUAGCCGGCCUGAGAGGGUGACCGGCCACAUUGGGACUGAGAUACGGCCCAGACUCCAACGGGAGGCAGCAGUGGGGAAUAUUGCACAAUGGGCGGAAGCCUGAUGCAGCAACGCCGCGUGCGGGAUGACGGCCUUCGGGUUGUAAUCCGCUUUCGCCUGUGACGAAGAGUGAGUGACGGUAAUGGGUAAAGAAGCACCGGCUAACUACGUG